CCUACGGGGGGCUGCAGUCGAGAAUAGUCUACAAUGGACGAGAGUCUGAUAGUGCAAUGCCGCGUGGAUGAAGAAGCAUUUCGGUGUGUAAAAUCCUUUUUUAAACGAGCAAAGCCGGGAAGGUGAAUAGCUUUUUUGGUAAGAUAUUAGUUUAAGAAUAAGCCUCGGCUAACUCCGUGCCAGCAGCCGCGGUAAUACGGGGGAGGCAAGCGUUGUCCGGAAUCACUAGGCGUAAAGGGCAAGUAGGCGGAUCAGUAAGUUACGGGUUAAAUCCAACGGCUCAACCGUUGAGCAGCUUGUGAUACUGUUGAUCUAGAGUCAGACAGGGGAAGACGGAAUUCCCGGUGUAGCGGUGGAAUGCGCAGAUAUCGGGAAGAACACCAAAGGCGAAGGCAGUCUUCUGGGUCAUGACUGACGCUCAAUUGCGAAGGUGUGGGUAUCAAACAGGAUUAGAUACCCCGGUAGUC
RNAcentral lists this ribosomal RNA (467 nucleotides) under uncultured bacterium. Its description in RNAcentral is "bacterial SSU rRNA". It matches the Rfam family "Bacterial small subunit ribosomal RNA", at positions 338 to 795 of the family's 1533-position model. The record is from RNAcentral.